UACGGGGGGGGCAAGCGUUGUUCGGAAUUACUGGGCGUAAAGGGCGCGUAGGCGGGCUCGUAAGUCAGGGGUGAAAUCCCACGGCCCAACCGUGGAAGUGCCUCUGAUACUGCGGGCCUCGAGGGGGAUAGGGGCGUGCGGAACUCAGGGUGGAGCGGUGAAAUGCGUAGAUAUCCUGAGGAACACCGGUGGCGAAAGCGGCGCGCUGGAUCCCUUCUGACGCUGAGGCGCGAAAGCCAGGGGAGCAAACGGG
This 253-nucleotide ribosomal RNA is filed under the name uncultured bacterium. RNAcentral's name for it is "partial 16S ribosomal RNA". It matches the Rfam family "Bacterial small subunit ribosomal RNA", at positions 524 to 776 of the family's 1533-position model. The record is from RNAcentral.